This 1407-nucleotide ribosomal RNA is filed under the name Klebsiella pneumoniae. RNAcentral's name for it is "bacterial LSU rRNA". It matches the Rfam family "Bacterial large subunit ribosomal RNA", at positions 1511 to 2925 of the family's 2925-position model. Lineage: Bacteria; Pseudomonadati; Pseudomonadota; Gammaproteobacteria; Enterobacterales; Enterobacteriaceae. The record is from RNAcentral.
AAGAUGCAGGUUACCCGCGACAGGACUGAAAGACCCCGUGGAGCAUGAGCUGUGAUGGCGAGCGAAAUAUAGUAGCGAAGUUCCUGAUUCCACACUGCCAAGAAAAGCCUCUAGCGAGGUGAGAGGUGCCCGUACCGCAAACCGACACAGGUAGGCGAGGAGAGAAUCCUAAGGUGAUCGAGAGAACUCUCGUUAAGGAACUCGGCAAAAUGACCCCGUAACUUCGGGAGAAGGGGUGCUCUGUUAGGGUGCAAGCCCGAGAGAGCCGCAGUGAAUAGGCCCAGGCGACUGUUUAGCAAAAACACAGGUCUCUGCGAAGCCGUAAGGCGAAGUAUAGGGGCUGACGCCUGCCCGGUGCUGGAAGGUUAAGAGGAGCGCUUAGCGUAAGCGAAGGUGCGAAUUGAAGCCCCAGUAAACGGCGGCCGUAACGAUAACGGUCCUAAGGUAGCGAAAUUCCUUGUCGGGUAAGUUCCGACCCGCACGAAAGGCGCAACGAUCUGGGCACUGUCUCAACGAGAGACUCGGUGAAAUUAUAGUACCUGUGAAGAUGCAGGUUACCCGCGACAGGACGGAAAGACCCCGUGGAGCUUUACUGCAGCCUGAUAUUGAAUGUUGGUACAGCUUGUACAGGAUAGGUAGGAGCCUUGGAAACCGGAGCGCCAGCUUCGGUGGAGGCAUCGGUGGGAUACUACCCUGGCUGUAUUGACCUUCUAACCCGCCGCCCUUAUCGGGCGGGGAGACAGUGUCAGGUGGGCAGUUUGACUGGGGCGGUCGCCUCCUAAAAGGUAACGGAGGCGCCCAAAGGUUCCCUCAGAAUGGUUGGAAAUCAUUCGCAGAGUGUAAAGGCACAAGGGAGCUUGACUGCGAGACCUACAAGUCGAGCAGGGACGAAAGUCGGGCUUAGUGAUCCGGUGGUUCCGCAUGGAAGGGCCAUCGCUCAACGGAUAAAAGCUACCCCGGGGAUAACAGGCUUAUCUCCCCCAAGAGUCCACAUCGACGGGGAGGUUUGGCACCUCGAUGUCGGCUCAUCGCAUCCUGGGGCUGUAGUCGGUCCCAAGGGUUGGGCUGUUCGCCCAUUAAAGCGGUACGCGAGCUGGGUUCAGAACGUCGUGAGACAGUUCGGUCCCUAUCCGUCGCGGGCGCAGGAAAUUUGAGAGGAGCUGUCCUUAGUACGAGAGGACCGGGAUGGACGCACCGCUGGUGUACCAGUUGUUCUGCCAAGGGCAUCGCUGGGUAGCUAUGUGCGGACGGGAUAAGUGCUGAAAGCAUCUAAGCAUGAAGCCCCCCUCAAGAUGAGAUUUCCCAUUCCGCAAGGAAGUAAGAUCCCUGAAAGAUGAUCAGGUUGAUAGGUCUGAGGUGGAAGUGUGGCGACACAUGGAGCUGACAGAUACUAAUCGAUCGAGGACU